CGAGAAACGUCGACGGUUGUGUUUCGUGUUUUUCCAAUGGUGUUUGGUAGUGAUUCUUCCCUUGGAGAGACUGAAUUAAUAAGGUUUAAAGGAUUCGAGAAGGGCAGCCUUGGAUUCUGGCUUACGAUAGGAGAGUGGACAGGGUGGAAGUAGCAGCGUCAUGUGGUCCGAAACCGAAUAAAUAAGGCUAUAGGAUUCCAGAAGGGCAGCCUUAUAAAGGUAGGAUUUUUCUUUUUCGGUGCAUGGGUGGUGGUAUUCUAUUUUUUGUGUAUUUAAAAGAGGGGGGGAGUGAAUAUAGUGAAUACUGUGACUACAAAGAAAACCAACCAGGUAAUUAUUUUAACUGACCUUCGUAUAGUCAUCUUGAUGAUGUAAGACUGAUUGCAAUGAUUCUCUCGUGGCAUGAAACAGUUACCCUAAAACGUCCGGUAUGACUAUAAUUCACAGCCGUAUCGGUUUCUUUCAGUUUUCUUGUAAAUGAGGCCAUGAGGAACUAUUCCAGUCAAUUUUUUCGUUACCAAAGAUUGUCAUACGAAGAUCACGUUUUUAAAGGAAGGUAAGUGAUUAAUCCACCAUAGGCUUAUGUUCGUUUAUUAAUGUAUAAGAUGAUCUUAACAUUGAGAUGAAAGACCACAUUGAGGUAAUUGAUUAAUAAAGGAACAGAGCCAAUAAAUGUUUUUUAUAACAUGAUUACUUACAAAUCCUUUCGAUUGUUCACAGCGCCAAUGAUGACCCCGCCCUCGUCCUGCAUCUACCUGAGAGGAAUCAACUCGAUUCUGUUGAACACGAUUCAGGCUAAUGAGUGAUCCCAACUCACUAUGCCUGAACGCCGGCUGCGGGUAGCAGCGUCCAGUGGUCCAAAACGGAAUGAAUAAGGCUAAAGGAUUCCAGAAGGGCAGCCUUAUAAAGGUAGGAUUUUUCCUGUUCUAAGCAUGUGACUUGUUGCAUUUUUUUUGUGUAUUUAGCAGUGGGGGAAAAGUGAAUAGUGUAUAAAGUGACCAAAAUAAGAAUCAACGAAUAAUUUUAGCCGAUCUUCGUAUUGUAGUUCUAAUUGAGUUGUGGUUAACUCUCUCAGCGUUAAUCUUGGUGGCGUGAUAGACUGGCAGCGGUCAUUUUUGGAAUGGUCAUCAGCAGUUCACUCCAUAUGAAUUGUUAUGGCCAUGAAUUCAUAGCCAUAGUAAUUUAGUGAAGUGAACAGUUUUCCUCCCCCAGGAAGUACCGCAGCCAGUCAUUAUGUUUCCAAGGAACAUGUCUUAGGGGUUGAUCAUACCCCAUUUAGUAUUGCGUGAAGAUCGGGUUUUUGGUUUUCAAAGGGAGGUGAGUAAUCGUUACAGAAGUGUACGUUUAUGUAAUAAUUAGAUACCUACUCUCAGAUGAUUAGAUGAUUGAUCGUAAGUCAUCUCUGAUUAGGUAGCUAAUUAUUGAACAAACACACUUUAUGAGUACACUUUGGAGGGUGUACUAAUCUCAUUGAUUGUUCACAGAUGACCGGAUUCAAGUCUACCCUAAUCCUGGUGAACUCAAGUUUCAAUCGAACUAGUGUUUGGAAUAUCUCACCAGUCCCGCUUGCCAGUGGUCCACCGACGUGUACGAGUGCAGUUGGAGAUCCUCUGCCGCCAACUCUCCCCAUCCAUGGCGAUUAAGAAAGACGUGAUCUUCAUGCAAAUAAAGG
This is a long non-coding RNA of Photinus pyralis (common eastern firefly), 1672 nucleotides long. RefSeq lists it as uncharacterized. The transcript is spliced from 6 exons. The record is from RefSeq and is a predicted model, not a curated record. Lineage: Eukaryota; Metazoa; Arthropoda; Insecta; Coleoptera; Lampyridae.